RNAcentral lists this ribosomal RNA (254 nucleotides) under uncultured bacterium. RNAcentral describes it as "partial 16S ribosomal RNA". It matches the Rfam family "Bacterial small subunit ribosomal RNA", at positions 524 to 776 of the family's 1533-position model. The record is from RNAcentral.
UACGAAGGGGGCUAGCGUUGCUCGGAAUCACUGGGCGUAAAGCGCACGUAGGCGGGUUGUUAAGUCGGGGGUGAAAUCCUGGAGCUCAACUCCAGAACUGCCUUCGAUACUGGCGACCUUGAGUCCGGGAGAGGUGAGUGGAACUCCGAGUGUAGAGGUGAAAUUCGUAGAUAUUCGGAAGAACACCAGUGGCGAAGGCGGCUCACUGGCCCGGUACUGACGCUGAGGUGCGAAAGCGUGGGGGAGCAAACAGG